Molecule: RNA transcript, 2464 nt
Organism: Grammomys surdaster
Lineage: Eukaryota; Metazoa; Chordata; Mammalia; Rodentia; Muridae
Gene: Clasrp
Gene name: CLK4 associating serine/arginine rich protein
Exons: 20
Source: RefSeq, a predicted model, not a curated record
GCGGCGACCAGCCGGUGAGUGCAGGCGUCCGACCCCGACCUCCAGGCUUCCGAGCGGUGGCAGUCGGGCCUCAUCCUUGUCCGAGGCGCUCCGGGAAUUGCCGUAGAAGCCUCAGCACGAUGUGGCACGAGGCCCGGAAGCAUGAGCGGAAGCUCCGAGGCAUGAUGGUGGACUACAAGAAAAGGGCAGAGCGGCGUCGGGAGUACUACGAGAAAAUUAAGAAAGACCCCGCCCAGUUCCUGCAGGUGCAUGGCCGAGCCUGCAAGGUUCACCUGGAUUCUGCAGUUGCCCUGGCUGCCGAGAGCCCUGUGAACAUGAUGCCCUGGCAGGGAGACACCAACAACAUGAUUGACCGCUUUGAUGUCCGUGCGCAUCUGGACCACAUCCCUGACUAUACCCCCCCACUGCUCACCACCAUCUCCCCGGAACAGGAGUCAGAUGAGCGGAAGUGUAACUACGAGCGGUACCGAGGCCUGGUGCAGAACGACUUCGCCGGCAUCUCUGAGGAGCAGUGCUUGUAUCAGAUCUACAUUGACGAGCUGUACGGAGGCCUGCAGAGACCCAGCGAGGAUGAGAAGAAGAAGCUGGCAGAGAAGAAGGCUUCCAUCGGCUACACCUAUGAAGACAGCACUGUGGCCGAGGUAGAGAAGGUGGCGGAGAAGCCAGAGGAGGAAGAGUCGCCAGCAGAGGAGGAGAGCAACUCGGAUGAAGAUGAGGUCAUCCCCGACAUCGACGUGGAGGUGGACGUGGAUGAGCUGAACCAGGAGCAGGUGGCUGAUCUCAAUAAGCAGGCCACAACCUACGGCAUGGCUGACGGGGACUUUGUCAGGAUGCUGCGGAAGGACAAGGAGGAGGCCGAGGCCAUCAAACAUGCCAAGGCUCUGGAGGAGGAGAAGGCCAUGUAUUCGGGCCGUCGUUCCCGGCGACAGCGAAGAGAGUUCCGGGAGAAGCGGCUGAGGGGCCGCAAGAUCAGCCCUCCUAGUUACGCCCGCCGAGACAGCCCCACCUAUGACCCCUAUAAGCGGUCACCUUCGGAAUCCAGUUCCGAGUCCCGCUCCCGCUCUCGCUCCCCGAGCCCUGGCCGCGAGGAAAAAAUCACUUUCAUCACCAGUUUUGGAGGCAGUGACGAGGAGGCAGCUGCUGCAGCUGCUGCAGCCGCCGCAUCGGGAGCUGCCCCGGGGAAGCCCCCCGCGCCUCCCCAACCGGGUGGCCCCGCUCCAGGCCGUAAUGCCAGCGCCCGCCGCCGCUCCUCUUCGUCCUCCGCCUCCAGGACCUCCAGCUCCCGAUCCAGUUCGCGCUCCAGCUCGCGCUCCCGCCGUGGCUAUUACCGCUCUGGCCGCCACGCGCGCUCGCGCUCGCGCUCCCGUUCCUGGUCCCGCUCGCGCUCCCGCUCCCGCCGCUACUCGCGCUCCCGCAGCCGCGGACGGCGGCACUCAGACGGCGGUUCCCGCGACGGACACCGCUACUCACGCUCGCCCGCCCGGCGCAGCGGGUACGCGCCCCGCCGAAGGAGCAGGAGCCGCUCCCGAUCAGGUGACCGCUAUAAGCGGGGUGCCCGAGGCCCCAGGCAUCAUAGCAGCAGUCAUAGCCGCAGCAGCUGGUCCCUCAGCCCUUCCCGAAGCCGCAGUCUGACCCGUAGUGGAAGCCGAAGCCAGAGCCGGAGCAGAAGCCGCAGCCAGAGCCACAGCCAGAGCCAGAGUCACUCGCCAUCGCCCCCAAGGGAGAAGCUGACCAGGCUGGCAGCGUCCCCUGCUGUGGGCGAGAAGCUGAAAAAGACCGAACCUGCCGCUGGUAAAGAGACAGGAGCUGCCAAAGUCAGUAAGAAUUUGGAACUCGCCCGUCUAAUUCCCGUCAGCAGCAGUGUCCAGAGCUGGGCCUGGUGGGCCUGCAGGGGGCCCAGGGGGAGGGGAGAGCCAGCCCAGGGACUGGGGAAGGGCUACCCAGGCAAACUAAGUCCUAUCCCUACCUCCCAUGGGGCUCCAGCUGGCCCCCAAGUCCCAGACUCUUGGCUGAGGUGGGCUGGGCGAGCUCUGGGCACCCACGCCUAUCCCGCCCCUUCUCCCGCAGCCCAAGCUGACCCCACAGGAGAGGCUGAAGCUGCGGAUGCAGAAGGCUCUGAACCGCCAGUUCAAGGCGGAUAAGAAGGCAGCUCAGGAGAAGAUGAUCCAGCAGGAGCACGAGCGGCAGGAGCGAGAAGAUGAACUGCGAGCCAUGGCCCGAAAGAUCCGAAUGAAGGAGCGAGAGCGAAGAGAAAAGGAGAGAGAAGAGUGGGAACGCCAGUAUAGCCGCCAGAGCCGCUCACCCUCCCCACGCUACAGUCGAGAGUACAGUUCCUCCCGCAGGCGCUCAAGGUCCAGGUCCCGAAGCCCCCAUUACAGACAUUAGGCAGAAGACUGAGUUGGGGGCUGUUAUGCUGCUGGGUUUCUGUAGUGAAAUAAAAGCUAACGUUAUUUAAUGGACUUCA